Molecule: ribosomal RNA, 305 nt
Filed under: uncultured bacterium
Lineage: Bacteria
Description: bacterial SSU rRNA
Rfam family: Bacterial small subunit ribosomal RNA
Source: RNAcentral
GUUUCCUACGGGAGGCAGCAGUGAGGAAUAUUGGUCAAUGGGCUUACGCCUGAACCAGCCAAGUCGCGUGAGGGAAGACCGCCCUAUGGGUUGUAAACCUCUUUUGUCAGGGAGCAACGCCGGCUACGUGUAGCCGGACUGAGAGUACCUGAAGAAAAAGCAUAGGCUAACUCCGUGCCAGCAGCCGCGGUAAUACGGAGGAUGCGAGCGUUAUCCGGAUUUAUUGGGUUUAAAGGAAGCGUAGGCGGAAUGCCAAGUUAGCGGUAAAAUCGCGGGGCCCAACCUCGCUCGGCCGUUGAAACUGG